Molecule: ribosomal RNA, 417 nt
Filed under: uncultured methanogenic archaeon
Lineage: Archaea; Methanobacteriati; Methanobacteriota
Description: bacterial SSU rRNA
Rfam family: Archaeal small subunit ribosomal RNA
Source: RNAcentral
AUUAGCCAUGUUAGUUGUGCGUUCCUUGGCUACAGGGGACGCAGCAUACGGCUCAGUAACACGUAGUCAACCUGCCCUGGAGACGCGGACAAACCCGGGAAACUGGGGCCUAUCCGCGAUAGAUGACCUCAUCUGGAAGGAGAGGUCGUCCAAAAGGGUGCACGGGUAUGCUCUGUGCAAACCGCUCCAGGAUGGGACUGCGGCCGAUCAGGCUGUUGGCGGGGUAAUGGCCCACCAAACCUGUAACCGGUACGGGCUUUGAGAGAAGGAGCCCGGAGAUGGACACUGAGACAAGGGUCCAGGCCCUACGGGGCGCAUCAGGCGCGAAAACUUCGCAAUGCGCGAAAGCGUGACGAGGCUAGUCCGAGUGCUUCCUGCUAAAGGGAGCUUUUCUCGGCUGUAAAUAGGCCGGGGAAU